This 176-nucleotide unclassified non-coding RNA is filed under the name uncultured fungus. RNAcentral describes it as "sequence contains ITS1, 5.8S rRNA gene". Lineage: Eukaryota; Fungi. The record is from RNAcentral.
UCGAGAUAGGGCCUUCGGGCUCGACCUCCAACCCUUUAUCUACCUUCCUAUGUUGCCUCGGCGGUGCCGUCCGGGCCCACGCCCGGCCGUCCGCACUCGUGCGCUCGCGCGCCCGCCAGAGGACCGUACAAACCCUGCUCAUCGUAGACUUCUGAGUGAGAAACACAAUAACUUCA